CCUACGGGAGGCAGCAGUGAGGAAUAUUGGUCAAUGGACGAGAGUCUGAACCAGCCAAGUAGCGUGAAGGAUGACUGCCCUAUGGGUUGUAAACUUCUUUUAUAAAGGAAUAAAACGAGGCACGUGUGCCUUUUUGCAUGUACUUUAUGAAUAAGGAUCGGCUAACUCCGUGCCAGCAGCCGCGGUAAUACGGAGGAUCCGAGUGUUAUCCGGAUUUAUUGGGUUUAAAGGGAGCGUAGAUGGGUUGUUAAGUCAGUUGUGAAAGUUUGCGGCUCAACCGUAAAAUUGCAAUUGAUACUGGCAGUCGUGAGUACAGUUGAGGUAGGCGGAAUUCGUGGUGUAGCGGUGAAAUGCUUAGAUAUCACGAAGAACCCCGAUUGCGAAGGCAGCUUACUAAACUGUGACUGACAUUGAUGCUCGAAAGUGUGGGUAUCAAACAGGAUUAGAUACCCGGGUAGUC
Molecule: ribosomal RNA, 460 nt
Filed under: uncultured bacterium
Lineage: Bacteria
Description: partial 16S ribosomal RNA
Rfam family: Bacterial small subunit ribosomal RNA
Source: RNAcentral